Molecule: ribosomal RNA, 301 nt
Filed under: uncultured bacterium
Lineage: Bacteria
Description: partial 16S ribosomal RNA
Rfam family: Bacterial small subunit ribosomal RNA
Source: RNAcentral
CAGCAGCCGCGGUAAUACGUAGGUGGCAAGCGUUGUCCGGAGUUAUUGGGCGUAAAGGGCUCGCAGGCGGUUUCUUAAGUCUGAUGUGAAAGCCCCCGGCUCAACCGGGGAGGGUCAUUGGAAACUGGGAAACUUGAGUGCAGAAGAGGAGAGUGGAAUUCCAUGUGUAGCGGUGAAAUGCGUAGAUAUAUGGAGGAACACCGGUGGCGAAAGCGGCUCUCUGGCUUGUAACUGACGCUGAGGCUCGAAAGCGUGGGGAGCAAACAGGAUUAGAUACCCCCGUAGUCCCUGUCUCUUAUAC